RNAcentral lists this ribosomal RNA (92 nucleotides) under Canis lupus dingo (dingo). Lineage: Eukaryota; Metazoa; Chordata; Mammalia; Carnivora; Canidae. The record is from RNAcentral.
GUCUACGGCCAUACCACCCUGAACGCGCCCGAUCUCGUCUGAUCUCGGAAGCUAAGCAGGGUCGGGCCUGGUUAGUACUUGGAUGGGAGAUA